RNAcentral lists this long non-coding RNA (271 nucleotides) under Homo sapiens (human). RNAcentral describes it as "HSALNT0302841". Lineage: Eukaryota; Metazoa; Chordata; Mammalia; Primates; Hominidae. The record is from RNAcentral.
ACUGUCCUGAGCAGCUGCCACAGGAGACCCAGCCCAAGCUCUGCAUGCAGAAAGGCACAUGGCAAGAAAUUCCCAUCCUGCACACGUGGAUGUGAUGGACACCCUCACUCCUUAAAUUUUGAGGCAACUAGACUGAAAAGGGCUCUUGCUUGAUUUAAACAAUUGAACUCUUCCUUUUGGCUCAGGCAUCUUGUUGCUUCUUGCACUGGCUUUGCCACUGACCUUGGAGAGCCGGUCAAAGUCUUGGAGGUGGAAACGAACUGCCAACUGA